CCACAGCUCCAUCUACACAAAGGCUGCUGGAAGAGAACAGUUUCACUUCUGCACACUGGCCCUGGUUGCAGCUGGAGCGUCAGCUUGCCAGUGAGGUGGGGAGGCAGUGGCCGAGUCAGAUGGAAGAAGCCAAGAGCCCACCAUUCAAGCCAAGUGACCUUGGCGUGUGAUGUCUAACUCCUCAACCCAUGACCUACAAACUGGCCAUGAAAGAGCCCUCACCAAGAUUUUGCCUUACCUCUUCAUCUGCCCAGAUGUGACCCUUGAUAAUUAAUAAAGUCAAUGGUGCAAGAAUAAAAUAAAGAAAUAAACAGGCCUGAUCCUC
Long non-coding RNA from Ochotona princeps (American pika), 325 nucleotides. RefSeq lists it as uncharacterized. The transcript has 2 exons. The record is from RefSeq and is a predicted model, not a curated record. NCBI's taxonomy places the organism in Eukaryota, Metazoa, Chordata, Mammalia, Lagomorpha, Ochotonidae.